This 330-nucleotide long non-coding RNA is filed under the name Ixodes scapularis (black-legged tick). Its description in RNAcentral is "uncharacterized LOC121833824, transcript variant X1". Lineage: Eukaryota; Metazoa; Arthropoda; Arachnida; Ixodida; Ixodidae. The record is from RNAcentral.
AAUAAGCGAACUUGUUAAUGAAACUGAAGUUGUAAAACAGUUAGGAGAAUGCCAUGGUUUUAUUCUGUUCAGUGUUGAACGUGCCCUGUAUCAUCACUUCAAGGGGAACUCUAUGAGGGAAGCUUGCCUAUACUACCUUGACCACCUCGCUUGUAUUGAAGAUCAACUGCAAGAAUGCAGGUUCAUGCCGACGGUACUAAAGCUAGGGCGCAUCCGAAGACACACCCAACUUCUGGACAGCAGUUAUAAAAAAUACUGUUCCUUUUUAAUGAAAGGAAAAAAUGAGUGUACCACCAAGCUGCUCCCUGGAAAGUAUGAACAGUGCCUAGG